RNAcentral lists this transfer RNA (77 nucleotides) under Streptococcus sp. RNAcentral's name for it is "tRNA-OTHER". Lineage: Bacteria; Bacillati; Bacillota; Bacilli; Lactobacillales; Streptococcaceae. RNAcentral also lists the same sequence under 1 other name. The record is from RNAcentral.
CGCAGGUGAUAGUGCCGAUGUACUAACCAGCCUCAUAAGCUGUGUUUGGGUGGGUUUGACUCCCACACCUGCACCCA